This is an unclassified non-coding RNA of Pongo abelii (Sumatran orangutan), 148 nucleotides long. It matches the Rfam family "Metazoan signal recognition particle RNA". Rfam says of the family: The signal recognition particle (SRP) is a universally conserved ribonucleoprotein. It is involved in the co-translational targeting of proteins to membranes. The record is from Ensembl. NCBI's taxonomy places the organism in Eukaryota, Metazoa, Chordata, Mammalia, Primates, Hominidae.
GCUGGGUGUGGUGGCAUGUACCUGUAGUCCCAGCUAAUUGGGAGGCUGAGGUGGGAGGAUCGCUUGAGCCCAGGAAAUCUAGGCUGCAGUGAGCUGAGAUUGUGCCACUGCACUCCAGCUUGGGCAACAGAGUGAGACCCUCUCUCAA